AGGACGAACGCUGGCGGCGUGCUUAACACAUGCAAGUCGAGCGGAAAGGCCCUUCGGGGUACUCGAGCGGCGAACGGGUGAGUAACACGUGAGCAAUCUGCCCUUAGCUUCGGGAUAGCUCCGGGAAACCGGAAUUAAUACCGGAUAUGACUAUGGCUGACAUCAGCCACGGUGGAAAGUUUAUCGGCUAGGGAUGGGCUCGCGGCCUAUCAGCUUGUUGGUGGGGUAACUGCCUACCAAGGCGACGACGGGUA
Molecule: ribosomal RNA, 254 nt
Filed under: uncultured bacterium
Lineage: Bacteria
Description: partial small subunit ribosomal RNA
Rfam family: Bacterial small subunit ribosomal RNA
Source: RNAcentral